Molecule: ribosomal RNA, 547 nt
Filed under: uncultured bacterium
Lineage: Bacteria
Description: bacterial SSU rRNA
Rfam family: Bacterial small subunit ribosomal RNA
Source: RNAcentral
ACCCAAUAGAUACCCAGGUAGUCCACGCCGUAAACGGUGAGUGCUCGUCGUCGUGGGUAUUGACCCCUGCGGUGACCAAAGUUAAACACAUGAAGCACUCCGCCUGGGAAGUACGGUCGCAAGACUAAAACUCAAAGAAAUUGACGGGGGCCCGCACAAGCGGUGGAGCAUGUUGUUUAAAUUCGAAGCAACGCGCAGAACCUUACCUGGAUUUGACAUCUCCGGAAUCUUCCUGAAAGGGAAGAGUGCCUUCGGGAACCGGAAGACAGGUGCUGCAUGGCUGUCGUCAGCUCGUGUCGUGAGGUGUUGGGUUAAGUCCCGCAACGAGCGCAACCCCUAUCGUUAGUUGCUAGCAGUUCGGCUGAGCACUCUAGCGAGACUGCCGGUGUUAAACCGGAGGAAGGUGGGGAUGACGUCAAGUCCUCAUGGCCUUUAUGUCCAGGGCUACUAACGUGCUACAAUGGUCGGUACAGAGGGCUGCGAGCCCGCGAGGGUUAGCCAAUCCCAUAAAGCCGGCCUCAGUUCGGAUUGAAGUCUGCAAUUCGAC